RNAcentral lists this ribosomal RNA (484 nucleotides) under uncultured bacterium. RNAcentral's name for it is "partial 16S ribosomal RNA". It matches the Rfam family "Bacterial small subunit ribosomal RNA", at positions 30 to 507 of the family's 1533-position model. The record is from RNAcentral.
AUUGAACGCUGGCGGCAGGCCUAACACAUGCAAGUCGAGCGGAUGAAGGGAGCUUGCUCCUGGAUUCAGCGGCGGACGGGUGAGUAAUGCCUAGGAAUCUGCCUGGUAGUGGGGGAUAACGUCCGGAAACGGGCGCUAAUACCGCAUACGUCCUGAGGGAGAAAGUGGGGGAUCUUCGGACCUCACGCUAUCAGAUGAGCCUAGGUCGGAUUAGCUAGUUGGUGGGGUAAAGGCCUACCAAGGCGACGAUCCGUAACUGGUCUGAGAGGAUGAUCAGUCACACUGGAACUGAGACACGGUACAGACUACUACGGGAGGAAGCAGUGGGGAAUAUUGGACAAUGGGCGAAAGCAUGAUCCAGCCAUGCCGCGUGUGUGAAGAAGGUCUUCGGAUUGUAAAGCACUUUAAGUUGGGAGGAAGGGCAGUAAGUUAAUACCUUGCUGUUUUGACGUUACCAACAGAAUAGGCACCGGCUAACUUCGUG